GUAGAACGUCCCCACCUGGGAUUUGUCUGGUGUGUGGGGUAGAGUGGCAUUCUUGUCACAUCGUGUCCUGGGGACGGUAAUGGCCAUGGCUGGCUGCCUGUGCUUCCUCCUCUACCUGCUGUAGUGGAUCUUGACAGGCUCCUGGUCUGCAAAGUGGCCUCGGUCCCCUCUCUCUCUCUCUACACCACUCUUUUCAGGUUGUCACUGGGACACUUACGGAGCAGAAGCCCUGCCGCAUCCUCCCCAGGGGGUGCUCAUGUCACUAUGGGGGAUCUUGUGCAUGGGACAUCUCUGGUCUUCCUGGAUUCUGUGUUCCAUGUGGACUUCACUUUGGGGGUUAUGAUUUAAUCUGAUACCAUGUUAUUGGUCAUGUUGUGAUUCCCUAAGGACAAAUGACAGGCAACAGCUUGACAUUUUCUUAUUUGCCAUCUGUGUGGGUUUUUUUUUU
This 448-nucleotide long non-coding RNA is filed under the name Marmota monax (woodchuck). The record is from RNAcentral. Lineage: Eukaryota; Metazoa; Chordata; Mammalia; Rodentia; Sciuridae.